UGGGGUAUAUUGGACAAUGGGCGAAAGCCUGAUCCAGCCAUGCCGCGUGUGUGAAGAAGGUCUUCGGAUUGUAAAGCACUUUAAGUUGGGAGGAAGGGCAGUAAGCGAAUACCUUGCUGUUUUGACGUUACCGACAGAAUAAGCACCGGCUAACUCUGUGCCAGCAGCCGCGGUAAUACAGAGGGUGCAAGCGUUAAUCGGAAUUACUGGGCGUAAAGCGCGCGUAGGUGGUUCGUUAAGUUGAAUGUGAAAGCCCCGGGCUCAACCGGGGAACUGCAGGCAAGACUGGCGGGCUUGAGUAGGGCAGGGGGUGGUGGAAUUUCCUGUGUAGCGGUGAAAUGCGUAGAUAUAGGAAGGAAAACCAGUGGCGAAGGCGACCACCUGGGCGCAUACUGACACUGAGGUGCGAAAGCGUGGGGAGCAAACAGG
RNAcentral lists this ribosomal RNA (429 nucleotides) under Pseudomonadota bacterium. RNAcentral's name for it is "Proteobacteria bacterium partial 16S ribosomal RNA". It matches the Rfam family "Bacterial small subunit ribosomal RNA", at positions 355 to 776 of the family's 1533-position model. Lineage: Bacteria; Pseudomonadati; Pseudomonadota. The record is from RNAcentral.